GGGAUGAGCUCAAAUUUAAAAUCUGGCGUCUUUCAGGCGUCCGAGUUGUAAUCUAUAGAGGCGUUUUCCGCGCCGGACCGCGUCCAAGUCUCUUGGAAUAGAGUAUCAAAGAGGGUGACAAUCCCGUACUUGACGCGACAACCGGUGCUCUGUGAUACGUUCUCAAUGAGUCGAGUUGUUUGGGAAUGCAGCUCUAAAUGGGUGGUAAAUUCCAUCUAAGGCUAAAUAUUGGCGAGAGACCGAUAGCGAACAAGUACCGUGAGGGAAAGAUGAAAAGCACUUUGGAAAGAGAGUUAAACAGCACGUGAAAUUGUUAAAAGGGAAACGAUUGAAGUCAGUCGUGUGAAAGGUAUUCAGCCGUCUCUGGCGGUGUAUUUGCCUUUCACGGGUCAACAUCAGUUUGAUCCGGUAGAAAAAGGCGGGAGGAAGGUGGCACCCUCGGGUGUGUUAUAGCCUCCUGUCAUAUGUGCCGGACCAGACUGAGGAACGCAGCUUGCCGCAAGGCCGGGGUUCGCCCACGUGCA
Molecule: ribosomal RNA, 524 nt
Filed under: Vishniacozyma victoriae
Lineage: Eukaryota; Fungi; Basidiomycota; Tremellomycetes; Tremellales; Bulleribasidiaceae
Description: eukaryotic LSU rRNA
Rfam family: Eukaryotic large subunit ribosomal RNA
Source: RNAcentral